CUCCCAUUUCUUCAUAGCUUUCCUCAUUCUCAUCUGCACCUAUACAUUACAAAGCAACUUUCUUGGUACAAAAUACUAUUUCCAUUUCUCAUUUGGUUGCUUGACAUAUCAAAUAAAAUAAAAGAAAGAAAAUACUUUAGCCAGAUUCUUACUAUUUUCUUCUUUAAUUUUUCAAUAUUCCUUGCUCCAAAACCAAACAGAAAAACAGAAGGAAAAGAGACUUACCUUUGGAGAUUGAAGGGUGCUUAAUUGCAGUCGAUGAUGACGGACCGUUCUUAUCAACACCAUCCAUUCUCAUAGCUCUGAAUGAAACAA
RNAcentral lists this unclassified non-coding RNA (315 nucleotides) under Hevea brasiliensis (rubber tree). Lineage: Eukaryota; Viridiplantae; Streptophyta; Magnoliopsida; Malpighiales; Euphorbiaceae. The record is from RNAcentral.